Molecule: ribosomal RNA, 429 nt
Filed under: Pseudomonadota bacterium
Lineage: Bacteria; Pseudomonadati; Pseudomonadota
Description: Proteobacteria bacterium partial 16S ribosomal RNA
Rfam family: Bacterial small subunit ribosomal RNA
Source: RNAcentral
UGGGGAAUAUUGGACAAUGGGCGAAAGCCUGAUCCAGCCAUGCCGCGUGUGUGAAGAAGGUCUUCGGAUUGUAAAGCACCUUAAGUUGGGAGGAAGGGCAGUAAGCGAAUACCUUGCUGUUUUGACGUUACCGACAGAAUAAGCACCGGCUAACUCUGUGCCAGCAGCCGCGGUAAUACAGAGGGUGCGAGCGUUAAUCGGAUUUACUGGGCGUAAAGCGUGCGUAGGCGGCUAAUUGAGUCGGAUGUGAAAUCCCCGAGCUUAACUUGGGAAUUGCAUUCGAUACUGGUUAGCUAGAGUGUGGGAGAGGAUGGUAGAAUUCCAGGUGUAGCGGUGAAAUGCGUAGAGAUCUGGAGGAAUACCGAUGGCGAAGGCAGCCAUCUGGCCUAACACUGACGCUGAGGUACGAAAGCAUGGGGAGCAAACAGG